AUUGAACGCUGGCGGCAUGCCUUACACAUGCAAGUCGAACGGUAACAGGUCUUCGGAUGCUGACGAGUGGCGAACGGGUGAGUAAUACAUCGGAACGUGCCCGAUCGUGGGGGAUAACGGAGCGAAAGCUUUGCUAAUACCGCAUGCGAUCUACGGAUGAAAGCAGGGGACCGCAAGGCCUUGCGCGGACGGAGCGGCCGAUGGCAGAUUAGGUAGUUGGUGGGAUAAAAGCUUACCAAGCCGACGAUCUGUAGCUGGUCUGAGAGGACGACCAGCCACACUGGGACUGAGACACGGCCCAGACUCCUACGGGAGGCAGCAGUGGGGAAUUUUGGACAAUGGGCGAAAGCCUGAUCCAGCCAUGCCGCGUGCAGGAUGAAGGCCUUCGGGUUGUAAACUGCUUUUGUACGGAACGAAAAGACUCUUUCUAAUAAAGAGGGUCCAUGACGGUACCGUAAGAAUAAGCACCGGCUAACUACGCG
This 482-nucleotide ribosomal RNA is filed under the name uncultured bacterium. Its description in RNAcentral is "partial 16S ribosomal RNA". It matches the Rfam family "Bacterial small subunit ribosomal RNA", at positions 30 to 507 of the family's 1533-position model. The record is from RNAcentral.